GAUGGCCAUGAGAAACACGGAGAGGGAAUUGAAGAGCAUCUAGAGAAGACCGUUGCUCACCCUCCAUCACAUGAAGACACACACUGUGACCUGUGGUCAUACCCAGAGGCAAUGGAAGGAGUGUCUGAACACCUCCAGUACAGUGGGGAUGGAGGAGGUGAAGGAGAGGGGGAUUGAGGGAGGAGAAGAACAGCCUACACCCCUCAUUACUGAGGCGGAGGAGAAUGAAGGGAUGGGAGCAGCAUUCUCUCCUCAGACUCCUGCUAGAAUGAAAGCUGUGUCCAGCACCCCAACCUUUUCCCUGAACAGUAGCCACAGUGGGUCACCUAGUCAGCUAGACGGAUCCACAGUGAAAUCCCCAGGCUUCCUGUUCUCCAUGAGCUCAGCUCCUAGCCCCACCACCCCCGACUUCUCUGGCUUCCACUGUGGCUUUGAACUGGGCUCAGGCCAGGAGGAAGAGCCUCCUUUCCCCUUCAGCAGCUCAUAUUUCAGCAGUGAAAAGAAACCGUCAGGAUCCAGAUCGCCAUCAGGCUUCCUGUUUGCCCGGCCAGAGUCGGAGAAGUCAGAAGAUGGAUUUGAGUUCCCCUUCAGCUCUAAGAGUCCUGGUCAACCGUCAACCAGCAGAGAGAAGGGAUCAGGGGCUGGGGACUCCUUCCCUUUCUCCUUUAACUUCUAG
Long non-coding RNA from Oncorhynchus mykiss (rainbow trout), 676 nucleotides. NCBI's taxonomy places the organism in Eukaryota, Metazoa, Chordata, Actinopteri, Salmoniformes, Salmonidae. The record is from Ensembl.